This 339-nucleotide unclassified non-coding RNA is filed under the name soil metagenome. RNAcentral describes it as "partial contains 5.8S ribosomal RNA, internal transcribed spacer 2, and large subunit ribosomal RNA". The stretch from base 1 to 120 matches the Rfam family "5.8S ribosomal RNA", at positions 35 to 154 of the family's 154-position model. The record is from RNAcentral.
GAUGAAGAACGUAGCGAAAUGCGAUACGUGGUGUGAAUUGCAGAAUUCAGUGAAUCAUCGAAUCUUUGAACGCACAUUGCACCUCUCGGUAUUCCGGGAGGUAUGCCUGUUCGAGCGUCAUUUGUACCCUCAAGCUCUGCUUGGUGUUGGGUGUUUGUUCCGCCUCUGUGUGUGAACUCGCCUCAAAACAAUUGGCAGCCGGCGUACUUGUUUCGGAGCGCAGCACAUUUUGCGAUCCAGAUCAACGUACAGCGGCAUCCAAGAAGCCUUAUUUAACGCUCUUGACCUCGGAUCAGGUAGGGAUACCCGCUGAACUUAAGCAUAUCAAUAAGCGGAGGA